GGUAAUUUCAGAAAUAUUGAAGAACCAAUUAGACAUGAGAAGGAUAGGAAGACCAAGGGCAAACUUGUAAAUAUAAUUAUUAUUCAAGGAUAAAAUAAUAAUAAUAUCAAAGGACUGAUUUUUACUUGUAAUUCCUUUCGGUUCUAGAUCGUUUCAUUAUCUCUUUCCUUCUGUCUCUUCCAGUUUAAAAGAGAGAAUGAGACUGUAUGAUUCUUCCACAUCAGGCAAAGAAGAGCACAAAAAUUGUAUUACAAUUGAUGAUUCUUUCACAUCGGUUAGUUCUUAAUCAUUUUUAUUUCGAAUUUUCUCUACUUAUUUCUUUAGGCUUUUAAAUUCUAAAUCGUGUCUCGCUUAAAAUUUUAGGGAAUUCUCUCAGUCCUAACAUGAAGCAAAGAACUUCAAUUAUGGAAAUCUUUGCUUUUUGGUAACAACUUCAUCAACCUACCACACCAGGAGAUUAAGAGCAUAAUGACUUAAUUGGUAUGAUCAUUCUUCUAAUUUUUAUUUUUGAGUUGUAGCAAGAUUUAAAAUUUAAUGGAGCAUGCGUAUGUGGUUUUUCUGUUGAAAGAUUUCUGAUGUCCACCAGGUGUUUGGAAAAAUGUCUUAGCUAGAAAAAAAUCUACUUUGUUCAGCCUACUCCUUUUAACUUUUGUAUAGACCUGUGAAUGUUUUUGCCAUUCUCCUCAACAGGAGGUGUGCUUAUGUGAUACAAAGAAACAAAUAAGUAAGACUUACAAUUGUGUGGUCUUAUUCUCCUCGGAAUCAACAGAUGCUUACAUCAGAAAAGGAACACUUAUAUCUUCUUAUUUUCUGCGGGUUUGAAUUACCUUACACUUUUCGUUUGUGUUUUUGAUUAAUAUAAUUUGUUGUUGUUUCAUGGUUGAUUACUCCAUCUGUUUCGUAGUAGGACCUUCACCUUACAAGUGCUCGAUAAAGACCUUCAACAACUUAAUUUUUUUGUUCUAUAAAUAUUUAAAAUUAUGGACUCAACUUUUCAAUACAAUAUUGAGAAACCCAAUCAACGUCAAUUCCACUUUUCUUACAAAACAACGAAAAAUCAUAGUUGUAGACUUGAGAUUUUGGCCAAUUGCUUACCCUUUGGUUAUUUAUCCAGAAAAUUAUACAUAUGUAGUGUAGUAAAUAUAUUUUCCUAUAGAACUUUUCCCUGCAUUAAAAUUAUGUCCUUUUUGCUUCUAAAAAUGACCCAGACAAAUUAUCUUUCCUACUAACCAUGGUAGACAAUCAUAACUCUGAUAUUUUAAGUUUCCAUGUGCCAUUUGUUGUGACCAAAAUGCGCAACUGGACAAGUUCUGCUUGCAAAUAUUUAGUUGUAACUUAGUUUAUUAAUUUCCUCCAAUAUCAGCUCUUCUUACAAUAUUAUUAUCAUGGAUGAACGUAGUAUUUCCAAAAUGGAAUAGAGGUAUACUAUCGACGCAAUUACGCCACUAACUACGAAGUGGACGUGCAAAAUAAUGUUUUUCCUUCUACGUUUUGUUGCUAUGCUAAAAAAAGAGAACUCUUAUUUUUAUAGGUGUGUGCACUUUCUGUUAUAUCUGUUACUAUAUGAAAAUGUAAAGUUGUGUUACUUCCAAAAUCAUAUUAAAUAAGGAAAGGAAAGUAAGAUAAGCCUUCGAAAAAGAACUUUUCAACUAAUCUUAACAAAAAUAAAAUAAAAUCGGAUACUCAUAGUCAAUGGAACUUUUAGAAUGUAUUGGCUGUUAAAAGUUCGAUACUCUUUCAUCUGUGAUAGUUCCAUGCCUUAGCCUCUUCAAAAAAAAAACAUUUCUCAUGCUUAUUAUCGGUUGAAUAUUUUUCAUAUUGAGAUUAUAUAUAUGUAGUACAUGGAGCAGCUACAAAAACUUAUAUUUUAUGACGAAAGUGUUUGCUUUGUAGCGUAUCCUCCUCCAAGAAUAUGAACUUGUAUAGCAUCAUCUCAUUAAUCACAUAUCCAAUUUGAUCUCCUUAGUGUGCCUCUUGCAACUGAAAAUAGUAAACUACCGCCAUAUUCAUAGGGAAUCAGUGUAGUCAAAUAUGUAGCAAAAGUAAACUCUUUCCAUGUAGUUUUUGACUUUUUUUUUUGUUCUUUUCUGGUGGAGAUCUUUGUCUGAUACUUAUUUUUACCUAAUUUAACAGGCUUAUAAAAUAAUAUCAUGUGGUUUUAUCUGCUUUCGCUUACGCCGUUGUCGAUUACGUUUCUCAUGUUUUCUGUUGGAUAUCUAUUAAGAUUGCGAGACUAUAUAUACAAGGACUAUCCUUAGUUGAUUAAUAUUCUUCACUUAAGUGGUCAGGCCCGUGCUAGAGAUUGAUUACUAGCCUAAGUUUAGAGUGCUUCCUCUGAAGAAGAGGACCAGAUUUUUACUGAGACAAUCUGAUUAAACGUUAGACUUCAAAUAAGAAAGCUUUAAAACUCUUAUAUGAAUCAUUUUGUAUGUAACAUUAGAAAAAAUGUUUCUACUUUAAGCUUUGACAUGAAAAUUCUUUGUUUGUUGAUUCUUGGUAGAGCGGUAAUGUAAACCCUUGAAAGUUAAACUUGUGAAAGAAACUGAUGGCUAAAGAUGGUAACAGAACUUCCAGUCACAAAGAUAAGCUCUCCUUUAUAGAAUGUAAAAGCUCCUAAAAUUUAUUUAAAUUUGGAAAGAUAUCUCCUACCAAAACUUAGCAUGCUAUUACUCAUUAAACUUUUUCGGAUUUAUAAAAAUAUCUUUUUAAACUUUGUUGUAACAUGCCUACUUGACUGUAGCUUCUCCCUUAAAUUAGCAAGUAGUUUUUUCUUUGUUUUGAAUUGUACUUGGUGUGAAUUAACCAGUAGCUACUGCUACUGAAGAUGAGAUGUUCCUACUUCUGUUCUUCAGAGUGAUGUUUGUUUGUCUUUCUACAUAGAUGUUGAGACGGAAUUAUGUUUCAAGGACCUUUUUUGUGGAAUCUGUAAUGUCCAAUUAAUUGAUCUAUUGCAUUCUGUUACAGAUAUAAGUCUAAAGAAGCAAUUGAGAUUUUAUAAGUGCAGGGCCCUCAAUUUUUUUAUUUUAAUAGUGGCUUGCCGACUAUUUGGCCUAUUAACCUUUUAACUAUUAAGUUGUGUCUAAUUUCAUUUUAGAGAUAGACCUAUUCUUCUUUACUUCAUCAAAAGAAGAGAUAUUAGUUACUUCGUGAAAGAUUUGAUCAUUCAUGAAUUGGCUUACUUAUAUUUUUCUUCAUUUUUUUAGGCAGUGGAACAGUUCUUUCAGCAUUACUCAGUCAAGAGGAGUCAUUUUGAAAUGGUGAAUAAGAUCAUGCAUGUAGUUUUGAGGCUGCAUGAGGAUACAACACAAGGGUGGCAAUAUUUUUGAAAGGUUUGAGGGCGGCAAGAUAAAUUUUAGAAUAACCAGUACCUUUGACAUCAAAAUUGAUGCUAAAUCACUUUUUGGUCCUUGAUUAACUCUUAUUCAUGUUAUGUUGAAUUUUCUACGAGGCGUUCAUGAUAAACUUCUAUUUUGGACAAGGGUCAAACCACACAGGUGUUCCAAUAAAGUCGCUUACCAUUAAUUGUUCUAUAACUAUGAACAUACAUAGAAAUGAAAAGAGAUGGAAGAAUUAUGAUUUAAAGGUACAGUUCUUUUGGUGCACUAUUUUUACUUGCAUG
This 3619-nucleotide long non-coding RNA is filed under the name Solanum tuberosum (potato). RNAcentral describes it as "long non-coding RNA (STUB_LNC004916)". Lineage: Eukaryota; Viridiplantae; Streptophyta; Magnoliopsida; Solanales; Solanaceae. The record is from RNAcentral.